CCAGUUACCUGGCAGGGGAGACACCAUGAUCAUGCAGGUGGUUUUCCCAGGACGAGGCUCAUCCCUUGCACUCUGGGUGUGCUGACCCCUGCGAUUUCCCCAAAUGAGGGAAACUCAACUGCAUAAUUUGUGGCUAGGACGUGCAGUCUUGGGCUUCA
Molecule: small nuclear RNA, 158 nt
Filed under: Acanthisitta chloris (rifleman)
Lineage: Eukaryota; Metazoa; Chordata; Aves; Passeriformes; Acanthisittidae
Description: U1 spliceosomal RNA
Rfam family: U1 spliceosomal RNA
About the family: U1 is a small nuclear RNA (snRNA) component of the spliceosome (involved in pre-mRNA splicing). Its 5' end forms complementary base pairs with the 5' splice junction, thus defining the 5' donor site of an intron.
Source: Rfam by way of RNAcentral